Long non-coding RNA from Chinchilla lanigera (long-tailed chinchilla), 535 nucleotides. RefSeq lists it as uncharacterized. The record is from RefSeq and is a predicted model, not a curated record. NCBI's taxonomy places the organism in Eukaryota, Metazoa, Chordata, Mammalia, Rodentia, Chinchillidae. The transcript is spliced from 3 exons.
CAUGCCUGGCUUUUUAAUGUUUUUCAUGUCUGUGGGCUUAUGAAAUACUAUUUUGCAAAAGCACUAAAAUUUGCCAUCAAAGGGAAAUCUGUGAUAGAAGAGGAUACAAAACAGGUGUGGGAUGUUGACAGCAUUUGCCAUCACAUUAAAAGGGCUACUUAAGGAGACCAAGGAUGAAGGAGUCCACAUGAGCCCAAGAUAAGAACCCUGUGGAGCUGUCGCUAGAAUCCUCCAUCUCACCCAAGAUAACAGGCACUCGAAAGAGGCCAGGCGAUGAAAAGGAGCGACCCUCACAUAAUCUCCAGCUCCAUCCACCGGAGCACACUGGGAAGAGCCACUCUUGCUGAGUCAGAUGCAUGUCUGCUCCAAGUGUCCUCUGCAUUCCAUGUUGAAAGAGCCUCCCCUCCAGGACAGUGUUCCUGGUUUAGAUGGAUUAGAUCAAGACUACCCUGCCCCCACCUGCCUUCAUGUGCUCAGAGGCUGGGCUUUUGGGAUCAUGGGGUGCUAUACUCAUCAAUGGAUUCUUCUAAUGAGU